AGUGAACGCUGGCGGUAGGCCUAACACAUGCAAGUCGAACGGCAGCACAGUAAGAGCUUGCUCUUACGGGUGGCGAGUGGCGGACGGGUGAGGAAUACAUCGGAAUCUACUUUUUCGUGGGGGAUAACGUAGGGAAACUUACGCUAAUACCGCAUACGAUCUACGGGUGAAAGCAGGGGAUCUUCGGACCUUGCGCGAUUGAAUGAGCCGAUGUCGGAUUAGCUAGUUGGCGGGGUAAAGGCCCACCAAGGCGACGAUCCGUAGCUGGUCUGAGAGGAUGAUCAGCCACACUGGAACUGAGAAACGGUCCAGACUCCUACGGGAGGCAGCAGUGGGGAAUAUUGGACAAUGGGCGCAAGCCUGAUCCAGCCAUACCGCGUGGGUGAAGAAGGCCUUCGGGUUAUAAAGCCCUUUUGUUGGGAAAGAAAAGCAGCAGGUUAAUACCCCGCUGUUCUGACGGUACCCAAAGAAUAAGCACCGGCUAACUUCGUG
Molecule: ribosomal RNA, 492 nt
Filed under: uncultured bacterium
Lineage: Bacteria
Description: partial 16S ribosomal RNA
Rfam family: Bacterial small subunit ribosomal RNA
Source: RNAcentral